Molecule: ribosomal RNA, 425 nt
Filed under: uncultured bacterium
Lineage: Bacteria
Description: bacterial SSU rRNA
Rfam family: Bacterial small subunit ribosomal RNA
Source: RNAcentral
GUUAGGAAUAUUGGACAAUGGGCGCAAGCCUGAUCCAGCCAUGCCGCGUGAGUGAUGAAGGCCUUCGGGUUGUAAAGCUCUUUAGCCGAUGAUUAUAAUGACUGUAGUCGGAAAAUAAGCCCCGGCUAACUUCGUGCCAGCAGCCGCGGUAAUACGAAGGGGGCGAGCGUUAUUCGGAAUCACUGGGCGUAAAGCGUGCGUAGGCGGCUUUGCAAGUUGGGAGUGAAAGCACAGGGCUCAACCCUGGAAUUGCUCUCAAAACUGCAAGGCUCGAAUUCGGGAGAGGAUAGCGGAAUUGUCAGUGUAGCAGUGAAAUGCGUAGAUAUUGACAGGAACACCAGUGGCGUAAGCGGCUAUCUGGACCGAUAUUGACGCUGAGGCACGAAAGCGUGGGGAUCAAACAGGAUUAGAUACCCUUGUAGUCC